This 250-nucleotide unclassified non-coding RNA is filed under the name plant metagenome. RNAcentral describes it as "partial contains small subunit ribosomal RNA, internal transcribed spacer 1, and 5.8S ribosomal RNA". The record is from RNAcentral.
GUAGGUGAACCUGCGGAAGGAUCAUUACCAAAUCCAAAAAAAAACUUUAUCAACACCACAAUGUGCACUGAGAAUGGUUCCGUUCCCUCUCUCCCUCGGCUCCCCUCGGCCUUUUCCUUCUGCGUCUCCCUUCCUUUUCCCUUUUUUCCGCCAAAGAAAAAAAGAAAAGAAGAAGAAGAAGCAAAAGAAAGAGAAAGAGAAGGAGAAGAGGACAACAGAGAGAGGGAAUGCCCUUUUUUUUCAACCCCUU